GCUCUCGUCGUUCAAUGGAUAGGACACCAGUUUGCGGAACUGGUAAUCUAAGUUCGAUUCUUAGCGAGAGCACAA
Molecule: transfer RNA, 75 nt
Filed under: Candidatus Magasanikbacteria bacterium CG_4_10_14_0_2_um_filter_33_14
Lineage: Bacteria; Candidatus Magasanikiibacteriota
Description: tRNA-Arg
Rfam family: tRNA
About the family: Transfer RNA (tRNA) molecules are approximately 80 nucleotides in length. Their secondary structure includes four short double-helical elements and three loops (D, anti-codon, and T loops).
Source: RNAcentral